Frieseomelitta varia is the source of this 1627-nucleotide long non-coding RNA. RefSeq lists it as uncharacterized. The record is from RefSeq and is a predicted model, not a curated record. Lineage: Eukaryota; Metazoa; Arthropoda; Insecta; Hymenoptera; Apidae. The transcript has 3 exons.
GGACGAUAUCUCGUGCUGCUGGCUGCAUAUAGGUAGUGGGGGUGGUGCAGGCCGACAUGGCGGCCAGUUUUCUGGAACGUGCAACACAGGCCUGCCUUUACCAAUUUUCUUCCUUCGGUCAGUCUGCCUUUCAAUCUUUAUCUUCUUCCUUCCUUCUGUCCGUACCCUUUCGUCUGGCUUUCUUACCCUCUUAUUUCUUGAAAAGGGAAAGGAACCGGCUGCGAUUGAAAAGAAAUAUUCAUCGGAUUACCAGACUUGUUCGCAACAGCAACAACAGUAUGAACAAUUGCUUCAUUACUCUCAAAAGGAUGAUCAAGGGGCCGCGGAGAGGCAGCAGGAGUCAAUAAGCAGAGGAGCCAAGUGUCGGUGAAGACUGGCCUGCAUAGAUCCUUCAGAACAGAGUCAAGGAGCAGACUCUGCUGAGGUGCGGAUAUUAAUCCAGAAGGUUCUCCAUAGCAUCCCCCGGGAGUCUCCCCACUUGCCGAGGAGACGUCGACGAUGCCGAUGGAGGGGAUCCGGAUGGAAAGGAGGGAAAAGGGGCGGGGUGCGGGCAGGGAACUGUUGGCGGGUAUGCACGGUAGGGGCAGGAGAGGACCUUGGCCUUUUCGCGGGGCAAAAAUAAAACCUGUUGACACCGAAGCCCCGCGGACGCAAAGGAACCUCUCUGUCUCCCUUCCUCGACCAGUUUCCAAUAUCUCUCUUAAAUAUCCGCCUGCUGAUUCCCCUCGAGCUGCACGAUUUUCGAAUUUGUUCGUAUAGGUUAGGUUGCUGUUACUUUGGAACUUUCAAGCCGGUCUGGAUAUGAAAGGAGAGAACAAUGAUAUAUACAAAUUAGAUUAAAUUGGAGAGGAACAAGAUCCACUCGUAUUUCUAUGCUUGCAAAGCGUCAUCGUUACUGUCGAUGCGUGAAAUGAACGCCCCCGCGGCUUUGUGCGCCCCCAGAGCCGCUGGAUUUUAUCACAUGUCGCAACUCGGCCUCGCAUGAACAUUCCUUUCCAUCAUUUUAACCAUCAUUUUUGUUGCUUUAAACUUUUUGAACUUUUCUUCCAAUAUUCUUUCCUCCAAAUCUCGUCAUCCAGCUUUCAUCGUUUCAUAAUAUUGAUGUUUCUUCAUAAUAUUCUGAAUUUUUUCAACGUUUCAAUUUAUCGUUUUUAUGAAGUACGUAUACAACUUUUCAAUUGAAAUACAUACUUGCAUUAUUCAAAGGUGAUCCCAGUGUUAUACACGUUGCAGUAGCGGCCGAAUGCAUCUGGUCCCAAGUGAUUCCCCUUCAGUACCAGUUACGCUGCUGCAACAUUUGCUUUCUGCGUGUUCGCGCGUGCACGAUGCUCGAGCAUGCACCUUACCAUGACUAGACGAGCCAGAGACGAAGAGAAGCGGCCUCCGGCAACCUCAACCUAGCUACAGACAAACGCCAUCGUCCCUGUGUGCACGCUACGCUGCCAUGACGCGGAAAAAAGCGAUACAGAAUGUAUCGACCAGACAACCAACCCGCUACUUUUUCUUUUUUAAGAAAAUUUUGUUUAAUGAAUGAUGCAAAAAUUCUUCUUUCCUUCUCUUGCGUGACUAUUCCUCUUGAACUAAUUUUCAACAUCUUUGUUUGAUGAUAUUAUUUGGUAAUAUUAUC